UCAAAUGUGCCCACCAAGCAUGUUUAAAAUGAGAUCGUGCUAUUUCAGUCAUGUUCUUACGAAUGCAUAAAAAUCUCUUGUGAGUAGUCUGUGAGAAUCAUAUGCAUUAGCCAUUAUAAAAAAUAAUUUAAUGAAAAAGCAGCAACAACAAAUGACCAACAAAAGGCUUUCUGCAUUUCCUAGCAGCACUUUCUCAGGUGUUUCAACUUUGUGCAAUUAAGGGGCCUUUAAAGUAAAGGAUCAUCUACACAUGGGCAGGUUUUCAGCACAUAAAAUCUUUCUAUGAUAAUACCACUAGCCAAUAAGGCUUUUAGACCUUGUGACCAAAGACUCUGUAAAAUGUAUAGUUCACUAGCUAAAACAAUCUAUUUUUAAAAGUUCAAAACAUCUCAAUUCAACUCUUCUUUGUAAACAUAUCAUAGGACUUAAAAACUCUAACUGAACAUUUAUACAGGCUCUAUAAAAAGUACUAGAUAAUUAGAAGUCUGACUCUGCAGGUCCUACAUGCCAAAACAGUGUAAAUGCUACAAACAGAAGUCCUCCAGUUUGGAUGCCUCUGAGAAGAAAUGAUGAGAUCAAGAGCAGGAAUAAGGGUGUCUCCUGGCAUGCCAAAGUCAUCCUGCAAUAUCUGGCUGCCUGCUGGAUCUUUUAUCUACAGAUGCUCACCUGCAUAAAUAUCUCUAAAUCUGUCAGAACAAAUAUCGGCAAACCUACCACAGAUACACCACUGCACCUUGGGAAGAAUUCUUCAUGGACAUAAACCCAACAACUCUCCUCUUCCCAUUAUAUUUCUUCCUUUUUGAUCUUGAGGUGCACAUCUGUGCCAUCUUCACUUCAAUGUUGUGCUUUGCCUUUAUAAAAAGGACCCUAUCCUACCUCAUCCCCACCUUCUGGUCAUAAUUGUGAAACCUGUUUUGCUCAGAUUCUAAAUUGUGCUUCUUUUUAAAAUGUAAGUGGGGGAAAAAAAAAAAAAAAAAAAGGCAAACUUAAAUAAAAUUCUAAGGGAAGGAUGAGAGAGAAAGGUAAUUUUAAAAAUGCUGGGACUAGGAUAUAAAGCUCCACCAACUCAGAAUAAAUAAAUAAAUAAAUAAAUUCCAUAGAAACUUUCCUGGAUUCCAUAGAAACCUUCCUGGCAAUCGAACAUCUAAGCCAACAAGAUUUGAGAAUUAUCAAUUCUACUGACACUGAAGUUUGCCAAGAAGACUGUCCAAACCCUAACUGGGAAUUUUAUCUGUGGUCGUACUAACUUGGCUCUUAAAACACAAGCUAUUAUGAGGGCUCAGACCCAAAGCAAUCAAAGAUUCAAGGGUAAGUUGUUACUGAAAUAAGAGAACCUAUGGUGCUUAGCAAUUUGCAGGAUUGCUGGAAAGAAGUAUAACAGGUAUUAAUUUGAUUAUGGUAUAUAAAGAAUGUUGGCUGAAUCAAAUAAAUGUGGCUUUGUAUUUAGUCCUUGAUUUGACUACAUUUCAUACAUGCUGAAAACAUACAUUAAUGAAAAGUAGGUCUACAGCUGAAAGGAAAAAAGUCUGACCCUUUUGCUAUUCACCAACAUAGGAAUAGAGUAAUGUAUGGUGCAGCAUCAGUUUUGAACAUGUCUACUUACACAAUUGUGCUGCAUUCUACCACAAAUACGGUGUAUUACUUAAUCUAUUUGGACAUAUGUCUGUAGUUCAAGACAAUAUUUUGCAAAAAACACAUUAGAAGAUCAGUUUGUAUUUUAGAUAAAUAAAUCAGAAAGGUUUCACAUUGCUUAAAAGACUUAGAAAGCCUUAGAAGCCCCAACUAGACCACCAAUGUAACUGCUUAGUGGGGAAGAUAUUGACUCACUGUGGAGGGGAAAGUUUCUCCUCAUUUCAACAGAAUGGUAGGAGAUCAUGUACAAAAGGAUCUAAAGAGCCAGAAUUAUGUGAGAGGAAAAAUUUGCCUAGUAAUUUCAAGUUUAUGAAGGUGUGAGGAGUGUUGCAGAAGAAUUCAGCAUAUACUCCCAGGUCCGUUUUACAGAAGUUCAAUGAUGCUAUGAAAUGUAUUUGUAUCUAAGGAGAUUUUAGUAAGCUUUUGGGUGUUGUCAAGAGGGUUUAUAAUUAAAACUGAUUUGCAAUCCAAAAACCAUAGACAGUGCACCUUGCUCUACUGUGAUUUUUUUGUCUCAGUUUUUGUUCUGCAUUAAAUCUUAAUCCCUUGUGUAAAAUGUGUUACCUACACAAUACAACUGGAACUGCCACCUCCACAGUCUGCCUUGUGAGUAGACUCUUACCGGAUAACUGGGCACAUAAGGGCUGUAGCCUUCCCUUUGGGACUGUCCAAUGUUGCAAAUCUGUAAUUACAGCUGUGGGUCAGCAGUUUCCAGUGAAGAAUUCUCUUUUGCAUGGUGCAACUGAGUGCUUGUGGGAAGCAGUUUGCUGAUGUUCAACUACAGGGAGCACCAGCGGGUGCCAUCAUUUCAUUGUCCUCCUGGGAUCAGGAUAACAAUGGGUUUCUUUUUGCCUAAGGAGUAUAAGUGAAUAUCAAUAUAAAUACUGAUAUGAUCCUGGCUACUGCAGACUAUCAAUGUGCUCAUGUAAUUAUAAAUUAGGAAACGGAGCCCCGACCAUACCCUCAAUCAGAUGCAUUCCUGUUUUAUACCAUUUGUUUGAAGACAGGUGUUAGAACAACUGUGUUAUUGUGUUAUAAGAACUAAGCACAAAAAUCUUUUCCUCAAUCUCUGGUUUUGAAAGAAGGGUGAAGGGGAUGGGAUGGUGAUCUAUAAGAUGCUGAGGAAGCCACCUGUUUCCCUUUGCUUCUGAUCAAACUAGAGUGACAGUGGUUUCGGGGCAAAUGCACAGAAAUCUUUUUGUUUCUUAAUGCAAUUCAGAAAAAUGCCUGCAGGUGAAUCGCAACAGAGAGUACAGAAUAUGGUUAGGAAAGAACAAGUGUCUCUAUGUAAGCAAACAAGUUAUACUGACCUUGAUAAAGUGAUUAAACCAUGCACCAUUAUGCUCCACAGUAAACUUAUAUUUAGUUCAAAACAGAGUUUGAUAAAAACUCCAGAAAAAUGUGCAAAAUGCCAAAGGAGGAGUGAGAUCUGAGCAUAACUGAGUGUUACUUUUAAGCCUAUAUGCUUCCUUUGAUGCAGGCUUAUAAAUCCAAUUAACAUUAAUGAGAAAUGUGUUGUGCCCAUAUGCAAACCAUGAGCUGAGAUCCCCUACUGCCCCUCCAAGAUUUCUUUGCAUGACUCAAAUGUUGAACUGUUACAUUUAAAGUGUAUUUUGACUUGUAAAGUUUCAAAG
Long non-coding RNA from Columba livia (rock pigeon), 3266 nucleotides. RefSeq lists it as uncharacterized. NCBI's taxonomy places the organism in Eukaryota, Metazoa, Chordata, Aves, Columbiformes, Columbidae. The record is from RefSeq and is a predicted model, not a curated record. The transcript is spliced from 3 exons.